This 478-nucleotide ribosomal RNA is filed under the name uncultured bacterium. Its description in RNAcentral is "partial 16S ribosomal RNA". It matches the Rfam family "Bacterial small subunit ribosomal RNA", at positions 28 to 523 of the family's 1533-position model. The record is from RNAcentral.
GAUGAACGCUGGCGGCGUGCUUAACACAUGCAAGUCGAACGGUAAGGCCCUUCGGGGUACACGAGUGGCGAACGGGUGAGUAACACGUGGGUGAUCUGCCCUGCACUUCGGGAUAAGCCUGGGAAACUGGGUCUAAUACCGGAUAGGACCACUGCCUGCAUGGGUGGUGGUGGAAAGCUUUUGCGGUGUGGGAUGGGCCCGCGGCCUAUCAGCUUGUUGGUGGGGUGAUGGCCUACCAAGGCGACGACGGGUAGCCGGCGUGAGAGGGUGACCGGCCACACGGGGACUGAGAGACGGCCCAGACUCCUACGGGGGGCAGCAGUGGGGAAUAUUGCACAAUGGGCGCAAGCCUGAUGCAGCGACGCCGCGUGAGGGAUGACGGCCUUCGGGUUGUAAACCUCUUGCAGCACCGACGAAGCGCAAGUGACGGUAGGUGCAGAAGAAGGACCGGCCAACUACGUGCCAGCAGCCGCCGUAA